Molecule: long non-coding RNA, 350 nt
Filed under: Elaeis guineensis (African oil palm)
Lineage: Eukaryota; Viridiplantae; Streptophyta; Magnoliopsida; Arecales; Arecaceae
Description: long non-coding RNA (EGUI_LNC049289)
Source: RNAcentral
CUGAUGCACAAUCUGAUCUUCUUCGAUCUGCAUGUACUUACGGGCUCGAGCCAGAAGAUCAAUAUAGUCUCUCGGAUACAUCUUGUCGAGGUAGUAGAUAAGGCACUCGUUGUGGAGGCCUCACUUCAAAGCCAACAUGGUUAUGGCUUCACCCAUGUUGUGCACUUCCAACAUAGUCACAUUAAAUUGUGCUACAUAGUCUUGCAAAGAUUCUCCCUCUUCUUGGUGGAGGGAGAAGAGAUUAUCUGAAGUCCUCAGUUAGACUUGGAUAUUUCUAAAGUGAGCAACAAACCAGCAUCUGAGUUGCUUGAAGGAGGUGAUGGACUUUGACUGAAGCAUGGAGUACUAGG